Molecule: long non-coding RNA, 218 nt
Filed under: Olea europaea (common olive)
Lineage: Eukaryota; Viridiplantae; Streptophyta; Magnoliopsida; Lamiales; Oleaceae
Description: long non-coding RNA (OEUR_LNC014626)
Source: RNAcentral
CUCACGCCCACUCAAUUCCAACCCUAGAAUUUCCCCCUCCUUUCCUUCUCCAUCAUCUAUCCUGCGGAAAACGCCGCACACGUCGAACUGUGAACGUUGCUGUGAUCCAGCAGCAGACUGUGAUGAAACUAAUUCAUCAUCAUUAGCUGCUUCUGCCACUCUCCUUCUAGUUCUUCCUGUCUCAAGAAUCCACAUCCCCAUUUUUAGUUGUAAUAGAU